AACUUGGUCAUUUAGAGGAAGUUAAAGUCGUAACAAGGUUUCCGUAGGUGAACCUGCGGAAGGAUCAUUAAUGAAACCCGCGGGGCCCCUCUGCCCCCGCACCGGCGGGGACGCCGUGCUGCGGGGGCGGCUGGGCCCUGUCCACACCCACACCCGUACACCUUUGGGGCGGUUACGGUGGUGACGCCGGCCGCCCCGUUUUCACACACUCUGGAUGUUACCUUAGAAUGAUCGGGGUCGUUGUGCCCUCUAACAAAUAACAACUUUCAACAACGGAUCUCUUGGCUCUCGCAUCGAUGAAGAACGCAGCGAAAUGCGAUAAGUAAUGUGAAUUGCAGAAUUCAGUGAAUCAUCGAAUCUUUGAACGCACCUUGCGCUCCUUGGUAUUCCGAGGAGCAUGCCCGUUUGAGUGUCUUGAAACCAUCGCCCCGCGGAUUCGCGUCCGGACGGGGACGGACUUGGGGGUUGCUGCCGCGAGGCGGCUCCCCUUAAAUGCAUCGGUCGUGGCCCGUUGGCCAGCGUCCCUAGCGUUGUAUCACCCUCGCCUCUGGAUUUUGGCCCAGUGCCCGACUCUGACCUGCCUGUGGAGCGGCGGUCGAAACCUUUCGAGUUCUGACCUCAAAUCGGGUAGGACUACCCGCUGAACUUAAGCAUAUCAAUAAGCGGAGGAAAAGAAACUAACAAGGAUUCCCCUAGUAAC
RNAcentral lists this ribosomal RNA (700 nucleotides) under uncultured Basidiomycota. RNAcentral describes it as "eukaryotic LSU rRNA". The stretch from base 262 to 415 matches the Rfam family "5.8S ribosomal RNA". The record is from RNAcentral. Lineage: Eukaryota; Fungi; Basidiomycota.